AUGAACGCUGGCGGCGUGCCUAAUACAUGCAGGUCGAGCGAACAGACGAGGAGCUUGCUCCUCUGACGUUAGCGGCGGACGGGUGAGUAACACGUGGAUAACCUACCUAUAAGACUGGGAUAACUUCGGGAAACCGGAGCUAAUACCGGAUAAUAUAUUGAACCGCAUGGUUCAAUAGUGAAAGACGGUUUUGCUGUCACUUAUAGAUGGAUCCGCGCCGCAUUAGCUAGUUGGUAAGGUAACGGCUUACCAAGGCAACGAUGCGUAGCCGACCUGAGAGGGUGAUCGGCCACACUGGAACUGAGACACGGUCCAGACUCCUACGGGAGGCAGCAGUAGGGAAUCUUCCGCAAUGGGCGAAAGCCUGACGGAGCAACGCCGCGUGAGUGAUGAAGGUCUUCGGAUCGUAAACUCUGUUAUUAGGGAAGAACAAAUGUGUAAGUAACUAUGCACGUCUUGACGGUACCUAAUCAGAAAGCCACGGCUAACUACGUG
RNAcentral lists this ribosomal RNA (495 nucleotides) under uncultured bacterium. RNAcentral describes it as "partial 16S ribosomal RNA". It matches the Rfam family "Bacterial small subunit ribosomal RNA", at positions 29 to 507 of the family's 1533-position model. The record is from RNAcentral.